This 441-nucleotide long non-coding RNA is filed under the name Mytilus galloprovincialis (Mediterranean mussel). The record is from RNAcentral. Lineage: Eukaryota; Metazoa; Mollusca; Bivalvia; Mytilida; Mytilidae.
UUUUUUGUUCGAUAACGUAAAUUAUACGACUUUUUUUAUGACUACGUGAACUUGUGCCAUUUAUUUUUGCUGGUCUUUAGGAAGACAAUUUACAAUUGUGCAGUGAACGGAGGCACUUAUACAUAACCUUAUAAUUCUGUUUGGAAACAAAAAUAAAUUCCCAAUAUAUAAAUAUACAUGUAUGAAUAUACAUGUAUUAUAUGUCGUGUACAUGAUUGGAUUUUGUAGAUAUAACUACCGCACACAGAAAAAGUAUCAUGGAUUUCGAGGCUUUCAUAUUCAAGGUUUUGAAUUCUACCCUUGUUGAAAACCUGUGGAGACCUCUACAGUUCCUUAAAACAUCAAUUAUUUUUUUGUAAAUUGAGUGCCGUCUCCCUGAACAUGCUAACACUUAAGUCAUAUCUUUUCAUUUUCAUAUUUUUUCCCUGUUUGUCUCUGUUG